This 8847-nucleotide long non-coding RNA is filed under the name Ananas comosus (pineapple). RNAcentral's name for it is "long non-coding RNA (ACOM_LNC001232)". The record is from RNAcentral. Lineage: Eukaryota; Viridiplantae; Streptophyta; Magnoliopsida; Poales; Bromeliaceae.
GUCUUGGGAACAUCCUCGGCCCUCACCCUCAACUGGUGGUAACCUGACUGGAGAUCAAUCUUCGAGAAGACAUAAGAUCCCUGCAGCUGAUCAAACAAAUCAUCAAUGCGCGGCAAGGGAUACUUAUUCUUGAUGGUCACUUUAUUCAGCUCCCGGUAAUCUACACAUAACCUGAGCGAACCAUCCUUCUUCUUAACAAAUAACACUGGCGCUCCCCAAGGCGACACACUGGGUCUCACAUAUCCCUUGUCCAUCAAAUCCUGAAGCUGCGCCUUUAGCUCUCUCAGCUCAGCCGGCGCCAUCCGAUAAGGUACCUUUGAGAUUGGUGUAGUUCCAGGAACUACAUCAAUCACAAACUCAAUCUCCCUCUCCGGCGGCAAUGUCGUCAACUCAAGGGGAAAUACAUCCGGAAACUCGCGGACUACUGGAAUAUCCUCGAGUCCCGGUGCCGUCGUAGGUACCUCCACAACUGUCGCUAAGAAAGCAAUACACCCGCUACUCAGCAUCUGUCGAGCCCUCGCCGAAGAAAUCCAUGGAGGAAUGAGAGAUUACCCAUGGAUCAUUGAUUUGAACGCCCGAAAAUCGAAAACAACACUAUAGUACGGGAGCUCCCGUACUAUAGAUAGUAUAGUAGCCGGACUCUAAAAAAUUUAUAUAUAAAAAUUAAUAGAUUUUUAUAUACGGUAUAAAAAAAAUUGUAUACCGAGCAUAUAAGACAUGAACCAAACUUUUUUAAAAAAUAAGUAUCGCGAUCAAUCCUAUUUUUUUAAUAGUAUACGAUAUGAACAAACCUUUUUUAAAAAAAAUGUUGUGCACGAAAUAUAAAAGAUACGAACCAAACCUUCUAUUUUUUAAUUUAAUAAUAUAAUUGAUAAAAAAAUUACAUACGAAAAUUAAUAGAUUUUUAUAUACGGUGUAAAAAAAAUUGUACACCGAGCAUAUAAUACAUUUUUUUAAAAUAAUUAUUGCAUAGAUUAAUCCUAUUUUUUAAUAGUAUCUUUUUUUUUUAAUAUUAUAAGACGUGAACCAAACCUUUUUUUAAAAUAAUUAUCGUAUGGACAAACCUUAUUUUUUAAUAGUCAAUAUAACAAAAUUAAAAUUUUAUCUAUUAAAUACAAUCUAUAAUUAAUAAAUAUUUUUGCUGUAUCGUAUGAACCAACCCUAUUUUUUAAUAGUAUAAUUAAUAAAAAAAUCCCAUACAAAAAUUAAUAGAUUUUUAUAUACGGUGAAAAAAAAAUUGUAUACCGAGUAUGUAAGAUAUGAACCAAACUUUUUUUAAAAAUAAUUAUCGCAUGGAUCAACCCUAUUUUUUAAUAGCAUAAUACAUAAACCAAAACUUUUUUAAAAUUAAUUAUCUCAUGAACCAACACUAUUUUUUAAUAGUUACUAUAACAAAAUUAAAAAUUUCAUCUAAUAAAUACAAUUUAUAAUUAAUAAAAAACUAAUAUAAUUUAAUUGUAUUUAAUAUUGUAAAAUUUCUAAAAUGAAUGUGCUUUAUAUAAAGUUAGCGCGAAAUAUUGUAUCUAAUUUGUCGGGAUAUAUUUUCUACUUCGUAUAUUACUAUAUAUUUUUAUAUACUCAUAAAAUUAUACAUAUCUAAAUAAAUAAAUAUUGUGCAAAUUAAUUAAAAUAUUUUUUUCUCGCAGCAUUGCGCGGGCCCUUAGCUAGUAUAUCAUAAAUUCAAAACACAUGCACCUACUACAAUAUAGUUAGAAAGCAUGCAUAAUAAGUUCAAAAUCUUAUAAUGAAAUAAACGAAGCGGGUAGCGUGCUACUUAUCUCUCAAAAAAAAAAAAGAAAAAAAAAGUUCAAAAUCUUAUAAUGAAAAGAUGAGUAUCAAGGUUUUUUUUCUCUUUGGUUUCAGUUGACGGUCAGAUAUUUUACCGAGUCGGUGUCAAGAUUCGAAUAUGAAAACUAUCUCAGACCCUACCCACCAAAGGGUCAGGUCCAGAUCAGGUCCGAGUGGGUAUGAUUAUGAAGUAUUCAAAUCUAUACCGGAUGCAUACCAAAAAUAUAAUAAUAAUAGAAGUGGUGUUGGGUAGGUGGAACCAGUUGUAUCAGUUGGCUUGAUCGACCAGACUACACACUAGAUCGACCGUCCGAUUGAUCUAAGCUGAGUCCAGAUUGCUAGAUCGGGGAUCUGCUCCAACGGUGCUCAAUAGUGGCUUGAUCUGAUUUUUCAAGUUCAAAACUACAACAUUCACAAAACAAAAAACCUUCCCUAUUCCAUUUCUAAGUCAUAAAAUUUUCCACUUAGGGUGUGUUUGGAUCCCUGUUAAAUUCCUUCGAAAAAAAAUUUUCGGUGGAAAAUUUGUUUUUCCUUGUAUGGUUGUCUGUAAAAAUUUUUUUGGAAAAGUUAUUUUACAGAUUUCUAGGAAAAAUUCAGCUUUUCGUUUUCCGCUUGCCGUCCGCGGAAAACGAAAAGCUACAGGAAAAUAUCGCGGCGUUUGGCGCGAAGGGGAGCAACGGGAUGACGCGGUCCACAAGACCACUUUGGCCUCGUAGACCGCGUCGGAGGGAGGUCCACAGCAGCCCUUGUGUUUCUAAUUUUCUAAUCACCCAUCAAGUUUGAUGGGUGGUUAGAAUGAGAGAGGGAGAAAAUAUUGGGGAGAAAUUGGGUAUUUCAAUUUCUCUUCUUAUUAAAUUUCUCUUUAAUAUCUCCUCUGUCUCUCUCAUUCUAACCACCAAUCAAACUUGAUGGGUGGUUAAAAAGUUAGGAGUAUAAGGGCUGUUGUGCUCCUAAUAGCACAGUAGUCCUGCUCUAUAUAUAUAUAUACUAGCUGAGUGUACGUGCAAAUACACGUAACAAUUAUUUUAAUUUAUUUUAAAUCAAUAUAAAUUUGCACAUUAUAUUUAUUUAAAAAUUUAUUAAUUUAUUAAUUCAUAUGUUAUAUUUUAUUAGAAAAUAUUUGUAAUAUUCUAUAUUUUUUUACAUAUAUUAAAUAUUUAUAUAUAUUUUUUGAUUUCUGAUGAUCUAAAAUUUAAAUAUGUGUUUUAAACAAAAAGCAUCAAAAUUUAAUUCAUAUUUAUUUCAAAAUUUAAAAUUUAAUUUUUAUCCACUAUAAUUAAAAUUUUGGAUAAGAAUGCUAUUUUAUUAGCAAAUUAUCAUUUGAAAUCCACUAUCAUCACAUUUCUCACACACUUUUUCAUAUGUCCAAAUCAAGGCUUAUAUAUAGAGUGAAAAGUAAUGAGCAGUGUCUUUUCAAAUAUGAAAAAAAGCAAAUUAUCUUUUGAAAUCAAAUAACUACCUUUAUUAUGAAAGUAUGUGUCCUUUUAUUAGCAACUAAAAUUUUGAAUUAAUUAAAUAAAUAUUUCUGCAUUCAGACCUUUAUUAAUUUUGCAUGAGAAAGACAAGUUGAGAUGACGAUGAUGGCACAGAGUGGAAACAAAGAAGAAGAAAGAACGGAGGACGGGAAGAGAGGGAGAUUAAAAUUAUAGUGGAAGAUAGGGCGGAGGAUUUAAUUCAUUUUUUUAAAAAAUUAAUUUCAAUUGUAAAAAAUAGUAAAAGUAUAUGAAAAUCCUACCAACUGUCAUGAAAUUAUUAAAAUAAAUUAACAAUUUGAUCCAAAAGUGACGUAAGAUUAUUGAGAGAAAACUAAAACUAACAUAACAAAUAAUUCUUUAACUCGAAAAGGCACGACAAUAAAUAUUCAUAAACGAAAUCAACUUUUGAACAUUUAUUUUCAAAGUAAAUGCAUUAUAAUAAUGUUAUUAAAGUAUGAAUAAUCUUGAUAUAUUGUCACGCCCCGGAUUACACUUUCCCCGGGCACGCCGACAAAUCCGCCGUAUACAAAGGAAUUUCCCCUGUAUACGAAGCGUUAGCUGUACCUGUAAAUCAAACACUACUACGAACAGUAGUAGAGAGCUGCUAGAGAAAACAGAAGCUAAACAAACUGAGUUUCAUAUACAUAGUCCAUAUCCAAAAUACAAAGCUACUCGCACUGGCGAGUUAAGUCCACUAUGUACAUAAACUCGAAACAAAACAUCUACCUGCAGUAGGGUGCCUCUAACUCUGCACGUCGGGUAGGGCUCUAACUCGCGACGCCCUUGCCUCGAUCCUGAUCCGCGGAAGGCGCAGUAGCCGAAACCUGUGGCUCUGCAAAACAUAGGUAACAACUGGGCGUGAGAACUACUGUAAAAACAAGUAGUCCUCAGUGGGUACCGCCCAAAACGACAUCGGUCACCCACUAAGUCUACAGAAGGGAGCAAGGAUAGAAGGAAAAGCAGGAAGUACACUCUAUCGCUAUCAUCCACUACACUAUCAUGCUCUACAUUAACCGACUGUAGGAAAUGUCAAAUCUGACCCAAUCCAAUUGGGACUGUAAACAUACCCGUCCCUGGGACUGUGAACACACCCGUCCCUGCCCCGUUGCGACUAUCAGGCUCUAUCCACACUAGCUGGUCCGUGGAGAGCAAGUCCAACUGGCAUGAGCGACACCAACGCAAAAGCACCGCGCCCGCCUCCGGAGUGGCACUCGUGGGAGCUACCCAACCGAGUAUGCAGCGUAUCUCUGUCGAGCUCAAACAGGCUCUCUAACUCAAGCCGAAGUCCAGUAACAACUCUGACUAGUCUAAAUACAACAAACAACGUGCCCUCGGCACAAUCCGACGCCAAAACGGCGAACCGGGCCCACCGUCAGUCCCGACGGCGCCCACUAGUACGAAACAGUCUAAACGACCUCAGAAAAAUUCACUCGGCAUACCAGCACGAGCGUAAAUGUAUUCUAAACUACCUGGAGUACUCGUCUACAGUAUGCUGCGACAGUACAAUUCUAUAACGGCUCCUAGAGCUAAAUCAGGCAGUUUAAUACAUAUGUCGAUUCCAAUCGCGUUUUCUCCUAAGUUUAAACCCAGUCCAACAUGUAUAUUUAAAAGGUAAUAAUCAUGUUAUAUAUGCAGCAUUUAUCCAGGAUAUCAUUAUGAAAAACGAACUACAACAUGAUUUACCGAACAGAAAAUCAUACAUGUCGACUAUUACUACACUUAGGAAUAAACCGAUGUAAACCCACCUUAGUCGCUAAUUCUGGCAGCAAAACACCCUCACAGCUGCAGCACCACCUGCUGGUCGAUCUACACCCUCCAAAUCCGGGAGUCGAGCUAACACCACGCUCUACAAAGCACAAAUCACCGUUUCAGUCCCAAAAUUCGCAACAGUCAGGUACAGCACGGAUUCGACCAAUCUAACCUCAACGAAAUCUGGCAAGUAAGGGCUUCGUGGAUUCCUCUCGAAGUCCUGAAUCCAGCGAAUCAAGCCUCGUCGAAAUCCGACGCUCCUACGUCGAGUACGAGCCGAAACGCCAACGGUCGACGCUGGAAAUCUGCAGGGACAGCAACUAGCUCGAAAUUGAAAAAGCUUGGAAAUUAGGAAGCAAUUCUAUGGAACACCCACCUCGACGGCGACUAGCACUGGCGCGACGUCAAGAACGGCGAAGAUCCACGCUCGCCCGGCCUCCUCACGAUGCAACGGCAGCAACCGUAGGUUCGAACGGCUCUGCGGUGCGACGUCGACGGCGAAAUCGGCUCCGCGGCGGCGUCCCUCGCGUGCUUCCUUGGUACGGCCGAACGAAAGAGAAAAGGAGAGAAGAGAGGAGAUAAACUCCUCUCUCUCUCUUCCCUGCAUGCAUAAAAGAGGGGGGGGAGGUGAUGCCACAUGGCAUUACACAUACUCACACAUGUGCACUCACACACACACACACACGUACCCUCACACACACACUUAUAUAUAUAUACUAAGUGUAGGGAUACUAGUAUACUACAUCCUCCCCCACUACAAAAAGUUUCGUCCGCGAAACUGAACGUACCUCUACUCAAGCAUCAAACAAGUAGGGAUAGGCUUCCCUCAUCACCGUCUCAGACUCCCAAGUCGCCUCCCGCUCAUCAUGAUUACUCCACUGCACUUUCACAUACGGGAUGACCCGGUUGCGCAAUUCUUUCGUCUCCCGAGCAAGAAUCCGCAACGGUCGCUCCUCGUAUCUCAGAUCCUCGCCAAUCUCAAGUGGAGUGAAGUCAAUCACGUGAGAGGGAUCGAAAACGUAUCUCCUCAAUGCUGAGACGUGGAAAACAUCAUGGAUGCCAGCAAGUCGCGGGGGUAGAGCUAUCCUGUAAGCCACCGGUCCGAUACGCUCCAAUACCUCGAAAGGGCCAACAAACCGUGGACUAAGCUUUCCACGUACUCCAAAUCUGCGUAUCCCUCGGGACGGCGAGACUUUGAGGAAAACAUGAUCUCCAACCUGAAACUCCAAGUCUCGUCUCCUGGUAUCGGCGUAGCUCCUCUGUCGGCUCUGUGCUGUCAAAAGGUGUCGUCGAACGACUCUCACCUUUUCCUCAGCCUCAAGUAGAAUCUCCGGUCCAAGUGUCCUCCGCUCACCCACAUCACUCCAAAACAGGGGGGAUCGACAUCUGCGUCCAUACAACGCCUCAAACGGAGCCAUCUGAAUGCUCGUUUGAUAGCUGUUGUUGUACGCAAACUCAACCAGUCUCACAUGUCGAUACCACCCUCCUCCAAAAUCCAGGACGCAUGCCCUCAGCAUGUCCUCUAGAGUCUGUAUGGUCCGCUCUGACUGACCAUCUGUCUGUGGGUGGAACGCCGUGCUAAAAUGCAGCUGUGUACCCAAGGCUGUCUGCAAACUCCUCCAAAACUGGGAUACAAACCUCGGGUCUCUGUCUGAUACAAUCGACACUGGCACGCCGUGCAGCCUAACAAUCUCAUCCAAGUAUAGCUGCGCAAGUCUCUCCCUGGACCAGGUAGUCUGAACCGGUAGGAAGUGAGCAGACUUGGUCAGUCUGUCCACUAUCACCCAAAUCGCGUCGUAGCCACCCUGCGCUCUAGGCAAUCCAACGACGAAGUCCAUCGUGAUGUGCUCCCACUUCCACUCGGGAACUGGCAGACUCUGAAGCUUGCCAGCAGGCACCUGAUGCUCGGCCUUCACCUGUUGGCAAGUCAAACACUGAGCCACAUAUCUGCCAAUGUCCCGCUUCAUUCCAGGCCACCAGAAUCGUGCCUUAAGAUCCUUAUACAUCUUGGUUCCCCCAGGAUGAACCGUAUAAGGGGAACAAUGAGCCUCUCUCAGAAUAUCCGCUCGAAUCUCCGGAUCCACAGGCACACACAGUCGGUCCCUGUACCGUAGUACUCCCGAACUGUCCAAAGCAAAACCCUCAGCCUGCCCCCUGUCUAGCUGCUCUCUAAUCCUCAACAAGUACGGAUCUCCACUCUGUUUCUCUCGGAUCCUAUCCAACAGAGUGGGCUGUAAAACUAGAGACGUCAGCCUCGCCGUAGACCCAGGGGGUACUAUCUCGAGUCCCAGCCGCUGUAGCUCCUCGAGUAGGGGUCUCUGCUCAGUAAUCCUCAAACUCAGGCUCUGCACUGACUUCCUGCUCAACGCAUCUGCCACCACAUUCGCCCUGCCGGGAUGAUACUGAAUACUAAUGUCAUAGUCCUUCAGUAACUCCAACCACCGGCGCUGCCUCAGAUUCAGCUCCCUCUGUGUGAACAGAUACUUGAGACUUUGAUGAUCGGUGAAAACCUCGCAGUGCUCGCCGUACAAGUAAUGCCGCCAGAGCUUCAAAGCAAAAACCACCGCGGCAAGCUCCAAGUCAUGCGUAGGGUAAUUCUUCUCAUAAUCCUUUAACUGCCGUGAAGCAUAAGCAAUCACCCUACCAUGCUGCAUCAGCACGCAACCAAGUCCACUGUGCGAUGCAUCACUGUAGAUCACAAAUCCUUCGCCCAUAACAGGAAGGGCAAGGAUAGGAGCCGACAUCAACCUCAAUCUCAACUCGUCAAAGCUCCUCUGACAGUCGUCGCUCCAGACAAAACGAAUCCCCUUCCGCGUCAAGCGUGUGAGGGGUGUGGAAAGCUUCGCAAAGCCUUCCACAAACCGACGGUAAUAUCCUGCCAGUCCCAGGAAGCUCCGUACCUCAGUAACCGUCGUCGGUCUAGGCCAAUCUCGAAUCGCCUCAAUCUUCUUCGGGUCCACUGCUACGCCCUCAGCUGAAAUCACGUGGCCCAAGAAAGCAACCUCCCGUAGCCAGAACUCGCACUUCUUUAACUUGGCAUACAACUUCUUCUCGCGCAGAAGCUGUAGCACAAUCCUCAAGUGCUCCUCAUGCUCAGCAUCACUCCGGGAGUAAAUCAGGAUAUCGUCGAUGAAGACUACCACAAACCUAUCCAAGAACGGCUUGAACACUCUGUUCAUCAAAUCCAUGAAUGCGGCAGGGGCAUUCGUCAAUCCAAAAGGCAUCACCGUGAACUCAUAAUGCCCGUACCGAGUCCGAAAAGCCGUCUUGGGAACAUCCUCGGCCCUCACCCUCAGCUGGUGGUAACCUGACUGGAGAUCAAUCUUCGAAAAGACACAAGAUCCUUGCAGCUGAUCGAAUAGAUCAUCAAUGCGCGGCAGAGGAUACUUGUUCUUGAUGGUCACUUUAUUCAGCUCCCGGUAAUCCACACAUAACCUGAGCGAACCAUCCUUCUUCUUUACAAAUAACACCGGCGCUCCCCAAGGCGACACACUGGGUCUCACAAACCCUCUAUCCAUCAGAUCCUGAAGUUGCGCCUUUAGCUCUCUCAGCUCUGCCGGUGCCAUCCUGUAAGGUACCUUUGAGAUUGGUGCAGUUCCAGGAACUACAUCAAUCACAAACUCAAUCUCCCUCUCCGGCGGCAAUGUCGUCAACUCAGGGGGAAACACAUCCGAAAACUCGCGGACUACUGGGAUGUCCUCGAGUCUCGGCGCCGCCGUAGGUACCUCCACAACUGUCGCUAGGAAAGCGAUACACCCACUGCUCAGCAUCUGUCGAGCCCUCGCCGAAGAUAUCCAGGUGGCAAACAGCGUGCUCCUGCAGCCUCUGAAAGUAA